RNAcentral lists this long non-coding RNA (5304 nucleotides) under Canis lupus familiaris (dog). RNAcentral describes it as "lncRNA (ENSCAFG00000059133.1)". The record is from RNAcentral. Lineage: Eukaryota; Metazoa; Chordata; Mammalia; Carnivora; Canidae.
GGGGGCCGAGGCGGGGAAACCGCGGGGGGGAGGAGACCCGAGGCGCAGCGAGUGGCGCCGGAGGGGAGGGGCUGGCGGCCUCCCGCUGCCCACCUGGGCUCGCGCCCCUCUGCGGCGCCCGCUCUUCAGCUGCCUGGGACCCAGAUUACCCGUGUUAGCUCCCACCCCCUCCAUUUCGAAACAGCCUCGCGCGGGGGGGUGGGGGGCCGUGUGUGUGCCAUUAUUGCUCCCUGAAAUUUGCAGACCCGAGAGGAAAGCGAUUCGCAGCGUCGCUCGUAUUUGAAUCGAAACCCAGAGCAAUUUGGGAAGAAACUCGGGGCACAUUUGCAAAAGGACAGCUAGCUUGAAAAGCCGAGGCCAGAGCAGGCUGCUCACCAAGGCCGCUCCGCGCCCACCCCACCCCUGCUCGCCGCCUCUCGUAAAUCACUAGGGGCACAGUCCUUGCAUUGGUGACUUUUGAACAAGCCCCUCCUCGGCAACCAAAGUUCGUUCCGAGUAUGAGGGGGGAAAGAGGGGUGGGGGAGGGACAUUUGGAACGCAGGAGAAAUGCAGUCCGAUCGGAAUCGCCAGACAAGCACCAAAAAAAGCGUGUGGAUUCCCCUUCUGCAAGGUCUCGCUGCGCCCACAUCUCGGAAGAAACGAAGAGGAAAACAGAAGAGCCCUCGCAGUUAAAACCCAGCCAUUUCCAGAGACAGCCACACCUCCCUCCCCCGCCCCCCCAUAGAGAUAAUGGCCUCAAGGAUACCAAUAGAGUACUUUCAGAUGAAUGAUUGAAGCUUUAUGCCAAGCAUUUUAAUAGUUCUCAAUAGAAUUUUAGUCUUUGAGAGCUUCAAAACCAUGGCUUGCCUAUAAACAUCAAACUUGACUGAUUUUGCAGAGCAACAGUGAAGGCAUAAAUAGCCCUGAGCUGACUGACCAAGACCUGGGUCCCAAUCUUGGCUCUGACAUCCACCAAUUAACUAUGUGACCUGCAGCAAUGCUCUCUUUUUUGCAACUAUAGUCUCCAUUACUGUAAACCAAUGGACUCAGUCUUCUUGGACAAAUUCCUUCUGGCUCCCCUUUGGUUUUGGUGUUUGGUGCCAUGAGACCAAAAUUACGGAUGACCUGCCUUUUUGUUUCCUCAUGGUACUUUUUAGUUUACUGUGCUCCUUUUAUCUGCAGUAUUCUCCCUAAAUGCCUGUGGGAAUCCAUCGGAAAUUUAAGAACCAUGCUAACCUUGCAGACCACUUGCUGCAAUCUUCUCAUUUUAUAGUUGAGGAAACAGGAGCAAGGAGGUUAAGACCCAGGAGUGGAGCUGGAAAGGCAGAGAGAUGACUAACAUGACUGCAAAGCCCGUGUCCAUAUCUUACCUUAAGCUCCAAUUUAGCCUUUAAGGAUGAUGUCAAAUACCUACUCCCCCAUGGAAACUUCGUUCGUCUACUCGAUUUAGUACAAGCUGUACGUGUUUUGACUCUCUCAUACCACCUUCUCCCCUUUGCACCAUAUGCCUUUGCUUGUGUCUCUCUUAGGAGAUCACUCUUGCUAUGUUGGGUUACAGAGGUCUGUGUUCUUGUGCCUUUUGAAGGCAUCUUGAGCCUACAGCCUGCAUUUGCUUAUCCUUUACCUUCAUAAGGAUUUUACUAAAUAUUCAUUACAUGAAAUUAGAUCACAAUUUCUCAUUUCCCAAGCAAUUUCACUUGAAUAACUCAGCCAGAUUUGACAACAGUUUUGCAAGGUAACCAGGUCUGUUGUUCAGUUUUCUUAGUAGUGAGCAACAGAAACGGACUGGCUGAAAUAAGCAAAAAAGGAAGUGAAAAGAUAGGGAGACGCUCCCAUAAUUUCUGGAAAGGCAGCAACAUAAGUCUCAGAAAAGUGAAUGUGAACCAAAACCCAGAGCUUCUGCUUGAUAAUGGUCUGUGGGGAUAGCACUGAGCACCGCUGGACACUGGAGCCUCCAGGUGACACUCCCACUGUGGCCAACACCAAGUGUAAGUCGGCAGCCCUGAAGCCACUGCCUCUGCUGCUCUUGGACUCAGGUGUCACUGCAGCCAAUGACCAGCGAUGUUUCCCUCUCUGUCACUAUAAAAUCAAAGGUCUAGGCAGGAUCAGAUUAUAACAGGUUAAGUAGCAACAUUAUCAUUUAAUGUUUGAGAAAACAGAGACAUGGCAGGUUCAGUGAUUUCUUUUUUUUCAGGUUCACACAAUUAUCGACAAAACCAGAAGUAACUAAAUUAGAUGAAAUACAUGAGUUUGAAUUCAAGUAGUCUACUGGAAGCUGCUUUUCCUUUUACAUUCUGAUACAUGCCAUUCUUCACUUUUAAGAACUUUUGGCAAACCUUCCUACUUUUUUUCUUCCUCCAAGAAGGGUUAUUGAGCACUAUAGAGUAGGGGAAGUGGCUCACAGCAGCCUUAUCUUCUGACAGCCUUUGGUUGUGGGGAUCGCUGGAUGUCUGUACUUGGGAACCUCCUCAAACCCCACAGUCAUGAAGAUCUCUCUUGUGGCGGCAAGUCAUUCAUGGAGGAGAGAGGUCAGCUCACCAAGGCUGCGGAGGCCUGUGCUGAGCCAGCAGGAGGAGUUCAGUGUGGCCUGGAGGUCAGCACAAGGCCCUGACCUGGCACCCUUUAAAAUAGUUUUCCCAAAGAUUUGGCUUGUGGCUUGUUGUGCUCUUUUAAGCCAGUGAUCCCGGGCAUUCAUAUCUGAGGAUUUUCCACUUGUAAGUUUUCAAACAAAACUCAGAAUGAAGUGGAAUUUAAACACAGUUUGAACAAGAGACUGCUGCUCAGCUGAACCAACAAGAAUUGAAACAAAGAACAAAUAAGGAGAAAAGCUCUUCUCUUAUUGGGAUUUAUGGCAUGACUUCUGUAGAUUUCUUACAGCAAUCCUAUUGUUUGACUUUCAUUAACAGGCCUCUGUGGAAAUGCUCACUGUGUCCUUGGCACAGACAAGAGGAGAUUGAACCAAAGGCCCCCUUAAACAGUGCUCUCUCCUGUCAUCUCUCUGGUGUUUUAAGUUCUAAGUUCUGUGAGAGGGUGUAAUGCAAGGGAUACAUUUAAAUUAAAAAAAAAAAAAAGGUCUAUUUGUCUAAUCCUUAGACCAUCCAAGGUCAAGUGGCAAGUAAGUUGCGGAGCUAGAACUCCAACCCAUCUCCGUAGGCUUUCAAUGCCCCUCUUCUAUAACCAGAAUAACAUAUUUCCCUCAUGUAUGUCCCGAUAUCAUUCUAUAAAUUGUUUACAUUAUUUAGAAAUGCAGAUAAUCAUACAUUUGAAACUGAUACAACACUGUAUGUCAACUCUACUGGAAUUAAAAUAAAAUAAUUUCUAAAAUAAAAAGAAAAAAAGAUCUAUCUAAUUUGAAUCUGAGGUGAGUGGUGCCCACACUUCUAGAGGGGAAAAAGCUCCUUUACUUGAGUUGUUCUAAUACAGAAGUACAAAGUCAUAACCUACAGAAACUAUCACAGAUUUGUUUUCAGGAAUAAUUACUUGAGAUGAAUCAGUUCUUGAAAAUGAUUUCAUUAACAGAUCACUUAAAAAUUUCCAGAAAUAUUCUCUUUUAUUGUUUGUGUAUGCAUCAGUCUCCACAAUGCCUUUUCCCCCCAGUUUUCUAGCCUUGACUGGAAAGACCAGCCUUGCUCCUGCCAGCACCAACCCCGGGCUCUCCAGCAGGGCUCCCCAGAUUCACUUCCUGGAGGGCCGGUCCUGUUAUCUUUUUUGGCAGGUCCGCCAAAUUCCAGUUCCCCAUCCUCUACCUUCCUGUCUAGUAUUUACCUUUCACCAUCUAGAUUAGAGGGUCAUUUGGCUGCAGCAAGAAAUCCUCCAAUGACAGAAGAUUUGCUACUCGGGUGGAAGUCCGGUUCAUCACUGAAAAGCUGUAAUUGUUAGAAAGCUCAUCCUUCUAUAAAGUUGGAAACUGCCUUCUGGUGACCUCCAUCUGUUCUCUUCUGUGGCAUGAAAUGGAUUCUAUCUACUCCUGCUUCCACCUGACAGCUCUCAGGUAUUUGAGGUCAACAAUCUGACCCCCACCAUGUUAUCUUAAUCCAGACUAAAUAUUGAUGCUUUGCUCAACUAUUCCUUAUGACACGUUCCCCAAGGCCCCUCGCCAUUUUGUUCACUGAAUCUCAGUGUCUCUUUUAAAAGGUGGCACCAAGGCUCAAUAGCUUUCUUGGGAUUGCCUAGCUGAUAAGUGACGGGGCUGGGAUUUGAACCCAGGUAGUAUAGAUCCAGUGAUGGGGUUCUUCUGUCUGUUCUUCUGACAAUUCUAUCUGUCAACAUUGUGCCUCAAUCAUUUAUGGUUUAGGGAUAUUUUAAAGUAGAACAAGCUACAUCAUCCCCCUAAACAGCUUUUGACACAGUAGAAGGAAAUUAACUGGAAAGAUCCCCAGCUCCAUUCUUACCUUUUAAAUUCUCAAAAAAUAAUAAAAAAUAAAUAAAUAAAUAAACCACAGCAUAAAUAAAAAAGGAAAAGAGAAGAACAAGAAUGCUAAGGUAUGAAGGGUGUGUACGCUGUUACCACAUUUGUUUAUUGUUGAUAUAUUAGUUACUUCCCAGUGAUUGGAUGAUAUUUUUAUUCCUUUGAAGUCGUCGUUGCAAUUUCAAGAAUUUAUCUUAGGAACUAAUCCAAGGUUGAAUUAAGCUCUAUAUAAAUAAAGAUGUUUAUGGUACUCUUACUGAUUUUAAAAAGUCACAAAGAGGGAUGCCUGGGUGGCUCAGCAGUUGAGCAUCUGCCUUCGGCUUGGGGCAUGACCCUGGGGUCCGGGAUCGAGUCCCACAUCGGGCUCCCUACAUGGAGCCUGCUUCUCCCUCUGCCUGUGUCUCUGCCUCUCUCUCUGUGUGUGUCUCUCAGGAAUAAAUAAAUCAAAUCUUUAAAAAUUUUUUAAAAAUUCAAAGCCACAAAGAAAACUAAGUGUCUAAAACAAAAUUGUCUAAGUGUCUAAAAUGGAAAGAUUAAGAAAAAUCUAGUUUGUUGAUUCAUUUCAUUGGCAUGUAUAUUUUUAAAAUGAUAAUUAUGUGAGGGAGCAUCAUGGAGGAUGUAUAAUAUUAAAUAUGUAUGCUAUGAUCCCAGUAUAUGAAAGUAAUAUAAUAUACGGACAAGAACUGUAGUAAUAUGCAAAACAGAAAUCAUUGCUCUGCUAUUGGUAGAUUUGUGGAUGGCACUCUUUUUUUUUUUUUAGUUACCAUAUUUGUUGAAUUUAUUUUAAAAAUUAAAAAUUAUUCAGAUUUGUUUUUUUAAUAAUAAAUUUAUUUUUUAUUGGUGCUCAAUUUGCCAACAUACAGAAUAACACCCAGUACUCAUCCCGUCAAGUGCCCCCCUCAGUGCCCGUCACCCAG